RNAcentral lists this ribosomal RNA (460 nucleotides) under uncultured bacterium. Its description in RNAcentral is "partial 16S ribosomal RNA". It matches the Rfam family "Bacterial small subunit ribosomal RNA", at positions 338 to 795 of the family's 1533-position model. The record is from RNAcentral.
CCUACGGGGUGCUGCAGUGAGGAAUAUUGGUCAAUUGGCGGGAGCCUGAACCAGCCAAGUAGCGUGAGGGAAGAAGGCACUGCGGAUUGUAAACUUCUUUUAUCAAGGAAUAAAGUGAGGGACGAGUCCCCGGUUGUGGGUACUUUAUGAAUAAGGAUCGGCUAACUCCGUGCCAGCAGCCGCGGUAAUACGGAGGAUCCGAGCGUUAUCCGGAUUUAUUGGGGUUAAAGGGUGCGCAGAUGGGUUGUUAAGUCAGGGGUGAAAGUUUGCGGGUCAACCGCAAAAGGGCAAUUGAAACUGGCAGCCUUGAGUAGAGUAGAGGUAGGCGGAAUUCGUGGUGUAGCGGUGAAAUGCUUAGAUAUCACGAAGAACUCCGAUUGCGAAGGCAGCCUACUAAACUGCCACUGACAUUGAGGCUCGAAAGUGUGGGUAUCAAACAGGAUUAGAUACCCCAGUAGUC